This 74-nucleotide transfer RNA is filed under the name Candidatus Delongbacteria bacterium. Its description in RNAcentral is "tRNA-Met". It matches the Rfam family "tRNA". Rfam says of the family: Transfer RNA (tRNA) molecules are approximately 80 nucleotides in length. Their secondary structure includes four short double-helical elements and three loops (D, anti-codon, and T loops). Further hydrogen bonds mediate the characteristic L-shaped molecular structure. tRNAs have two regions of fundamental functional importance: the anti-codon, which is responsible for specific mRNA codon recognition, and the 3' end, to which the tRNAs corresponding amino acid is attached (by aminoacyl-tRNA synthetases). tRNAs cope with the degeneracy of the genetic code in two manners: having more than one tRNA (with a specific anti-codon) for a particular amino acid; and 'wobble' base-pairing, i.e. permitting non-standard base-pairing at the 3rd anti-codon position. Lineage: Bacteria; Candidatus Delongiibacteriota. The record is from RNAcentral.
GGCGGUAUAGCUCAGCUGGUUAGAGCAAUGGAAUCAUAAUCCAUGUGUCCGUGGUUCAAAUCCGCGUACCGCUA